AACAGGAUUAGAUACCCUGGUAGUCCACGCCGUAAACGAUGUCGACUUGGAGGUUGUUCCCUUGAGGAGUGGCUUCCGGAGCUAACGCGUUAAGUCGACCGCCUGGGGAGUACGGCCGCAAGGUUAAAACUCAAAUGGAUUGACGGGGGCCCGCACAAGCGGUGGAGCAUGUGGUUUAAUUCGAUGCAACGCGAAGAACCUUACCUACUCUUGACAUCCACGGAAUUUGGCAGAGAUGCCUUAGUGCCUUCGGGAACCGUGAGACAGGUGCUGCAUGGCUGUCGUCAGCUCGUGUUGUGAAAUGUUGGGUUAAGUCCCGCAACGAGCGCAACCCUUAUCCUUUGUUGCCAGCGAUUCGGUCGGGAACUCAAAGGAGACUGCCGGUGAUAAACCGGAGGAAGGUGGGGAUGACGUCAAGUCAUCAUGGCCCUUACGAGUAGGGCUACACACGUGCUACAAUGGCGCAUACAAAGAGAAGCGACCUCGCGAGAGCAAGCGGACCUCACAAAGUGCGUCGUAGUCCGGAUCGGAGUCUGCAACUCGACUCCGUGAAGUCGGAAUCGCUAGUAAUCGUGGAUCAGAAUGCCACGGUGAAUACGUUCCCGGGCCUUGUACACACCGCCCGUCACACCAUGGGAGUGGGUUGCAAAAGAAGUAGGUAGCUUAACCUUCGGGAGGGCGCUUACCACUUUGUGAUUCAUGACUGGGGUGAAGUCGUAACAAGGUAACC
Molecule: ribosomal RNA, 730 nt
Filed under: uncultured bacterium
Lineage: Bacteria
Description: bacterial SSU rRNA
Rfam family: Bacterial small subunit ribosomal RNA
Source: RNAcentral